GAUGAACGCUGGCGGCGUGCUUAACACAUGCAAGUCGAACGGAAAGGCCCAAGCUUGCUUGGGUACCCGAGUGGCGAACGGGUGAGUAACACGUGGGUGAUCUGCCCUGCACUUCGGGAUAAGCCUGGGAAACUGGGUCUAAUACCGGAUAGGACCACUUCUUGGAUGUUGUGGUGGAAAGUUUUCUCGGUGUGGGAUGAGCUCGCGGCCUAUCAGCUCGUUGGUGGGGUAAUGGCCUACCAAGGCGUCGACGGGUAGCCGGCCUGAGAGGGUGUACGGCCACAUUGGGACUGAGAUACGGCCCAGACUCCUACGGGAGGCAGCAGUGGGGAAUAUUGCACAAUGGGCGCAAGCCUGAUGCAGCGACGCCGCGUGGGGGAUGACGGCCUUCGGGUUGUAAACUCCUUUCGCUAGGGACGAAGCGUUUUUGUGACGGUACCUGGAGAAGAAGCACCGGCUAACUACGUG
This 468-nucleotide ribosomal RNA is filed under the name uncultured bacterium. RNAcentral describes it as "partial 16S ribosomal RNA". It matches the Rfam family "Bacterial small subunit ribosomal RNA", at positions 28 to 507 of the family's 1533-position model. The record is from RNAcentral.